UUUUUUUUUUUCUCUUUUUUUUUAAUUUUUAUUUAUUUAUUUAUUUAUGAUAGUCACAGAGAGAGAGAGAGAGAGAGAGAGGCAGAGACACAGGCAGAGGGAGAAGCAGGCUCCAUGCACCGGGAGCCCGAUGUGGGAUUCGAUCCCGGGUCUCCAGGAUCGCGCCCUGGGCCAAAGGCAGGCGCCAAACCGCUGCGCCACCCAGGGAUCCCUCACAAUGCUUUUUAAAAAGAUUUUGUUUAUUUAUUCAUGAGAGACACAGAGAGAGACAGAGACACAGGCAGAGGGAGAAGCAGACUCCCCGCAGGGAGCCCGAUGCGGGACUCAAUCCCACGUCUCUGGGAUCACACCCUGGGCUGAAGGCAGCGCUAAACCACUGAGCCUCCCAGGCUUCCCUGCUCACAAUGCUUUAUAUUUCAUAAGUAAUAGAGAUUUAAGGGAACAUCAUUUUUACCAUAAAUACAAUACAUACUCAUCUUAGAAAAUGUUGAACAUUGAGUCAAGUGCAGAUGUUUAAUAUCAAUACCCAGCCAUCCCAUCAUCACUGACAUCCACAUUGUGCAUACUUAGUGGCUAAACUCUAAAGAAUAGAGUAAGUUAAUGCAAAGUAGUUACUGUACACUGGAGAAAGUAAACACCAUCUUAGUCCUGUGAUGGGAGUCAAAAUCCCUAGUGAUUCAGUGAUGUCAUAUAGGUAUUAUGUCCUGCCAGUUAUGAGGGAGGUGAAGAGAAGGGGACAUUAGACAUUAACUCUGUGGUAUUCUUUCUCAAAACCCAUAAUCACAGUUGAAUCAGGAGAAAAAUAACAGAGUAUGCCUGCACUGCUCAACAUUGUCAUGUCAUGUAAACAGUCUGUAAAUUCCUCAAAUGUGUCAACAGAGAGUUAUCAUAGGACCUAGCAAUUGCACUCCUAGGUACACAGCCAGGACAAAUGAAAACAUAUGUCUUCAUAAAAACUUGGACAUGAUGCAUGUAGCAUCAUUAUUCAUAACAGUCCAAAGUGGAAACAACUCAAAUGACCACCAAUUAAUGAAUGGAAUAAAAAUAUGGUAUGUUAUUUGGCCAUAAAAAGGAAUGAAGUACAGACACAUGUUACAAUAUGAAUGAAACUUGAAAAUAUUAAGGCAAGUGAAAAAAGUCAAAUAUGCAAAACCAUAUAUGAUUCCAUUUAUAUGAAGCAUCCAGAGAGAGCCCAUCAAUAUGCUGUACCCAAGGAAUCUCCCCUUUCCAUCCUGACUUCCAGAAAACUCUGUAUGGUGGGUUUGGGUCACAUCUCCUCUCUCCCUUUUUACUUCCCGUGAGUGAAUAUUCAAGCUACAAUUUAGUUUUUUGUUAAAAGGUGGCACCAAUAUACUACCAUCAUCAAACUGUCUGCAAAGAGAAAACAAAACAAAACAAAACAAGCAAACAAAAAACCAAUAAUCUCCCAAAACCAAUAACCUGAGCCUCUACAGAAUUAUUCAAAUUCUAUCUGGGGAAAAAAAUGAUAGAUGUAAAAGAAGACCGUGAGACCACAUAGUCCAGGGUCUGCAGAUAAAAAAAAAAAAAAACUGGUGGCAGUGAGCUCCUUGGCAGUCAAUGGCUGGUGUGCAAAGGGCAAUCAAUGCAGGGCAGAAUAGGGGGCAGGGAACUGAAAGAAGAUGGAACACAAAGCAGGGUCCAAGCAGCUAUACUGUGUGUCAUGGACAGGGGAGGAUAGACAGGGUGUGAGAAAGUCUAGGUAUCCUAUACAAAGUGGGGUGAUAAAGGGUGAACUCUCUAUUCUCUGGUUCGGACCCUCUGUUCAGGCCACAAUGUAUAGCAGCUGACAGUGAUGAGGGAAGAGAUAAAUUAGUGAACACAAUGUAAUUUGGGGUCAACUGAAAAUGGGUCUGCUUUAAUAUCCAUAUGAAUUUUCCAAGCAGAAUUGGUAAGAGUGAAAAAUGCACUCUGCAAAAUGUACUCUUUUUCACAAAAAAAAAGCCAACAAAAAAUAGAGAUAAAUAUGAUGUCACCUGGUGGUUAGAUACAGGAUCACAGCUCUAAGAGUCUCAGACCAGGGGGCCAUACAGGGAAGAAGAAUGGGGUUGGGAGCUUGACUUCAUGGGAUUAGUCAGCAUUCUGGAUUUUUACUUAGCUAGAAAAAGUCCUCAGUAUCCAUAACUUCUAGGAGAUUUAAAAAAAAAACACCCAUUUUCUGGGAUAUUUAAACCUGAGAUUGGAGGUCCAGCUCUGGUCUGAACAGAGAGUAAAGCUACAACUGUGAGCAUGUAUUUGAGGUUGUAGAGCUGGAGGGGACAUACAUAAACACACACACACACACACACACACAGUAUCAAUUCAUACUUUUUAGAGAAAACGGUAUGGUUUACAUUAUAGUCAAUUGUUACUCGUUCUUGAUUAUAGCAUUUGACAGAUAAAUUGCAUUCAUAUCUUGGUACAUAAAUGGCACCGUGCCACUUCCUUGGGACAGUUGAUUCAGAUGGAAUUAUUCCUGGGCAACCCUUAACUGUGUGUCUGCCAGCAACUGCCUUCUCUCCAUUCUUACAUACAUAUGUAAAGUGUCCCUUAUCCAGAAUAACUAGGAAAUUGGUCAUAUAAUUCAACUGAGUAUCCAUAUACAGUGCAGCACAAUGUUUUGCCAAUGGAUUUGAUAUAUUUCAAACUCCAGAUCAAGGUCUUGAAUAUUUAAUCUGUCUUUGGUGAUCCCAUUUUAUGCCUGCAGAAUGACAUACAGGGCAAAUGUAUCAAAACAUUAUCCAAAUAAACUAUUUUCAGAGUGAAUACUCAGAGCCAAGACAGCCUUACCAAACCUUCUAUACCUCUUAGUACUGUCCAGCAAUAACCAGUGACUCUGAGAAUUGGUGGAUUCUAAACUGCCUUUUGCAGCCCAGGGUCCAUGACUAUUAGUAUUUUAGUUGCACAAAAAAAGAUGCUUCAGAGCUGUUUUAAUUCAAACGUGUUAGUUGGGCUGGGCCCUGGGUUGAAGGAGCCUGUGACUAAACUUCCCCUUGAAUCCCACUGGAAGCAUCUCCCCUCUGGAAGCUGUGGGCUGAGUGCUGCAAGACCUUAUGCAGCCUCACCCUUUUCCUCCCCAGUGGGUCUCUGGAUAACUGGGAGGUUAAACCCAUGAGCCUGUUUUCAGUUCAAGGGGCUUUAAUUUGGAGAGAAGAGAAGGAAGCAUGUCAUGAGAAUACUUUUUCUCAUGAUUUUCACUAAACCUUAGGGAGUAGAGACAACUCAGAACUGUGGAAAGUAGGGUUUAUUUGAGAUACAUACUUGUCCUUCCUUAGACAUCUGCACUGUCCCUG
This 3290-nucleotide long non-coding RNA is filed under the name Canis lupus familiaris (dog). RNAcentral describes it as "lncRNA (ENSCAFG00000059078.1)". Lineage: Eukaryota; Metazoa; Chordata; Mammalia; Carnivora; Canidae. The record is from RNAcentral.